Molecule: ribosomal RNA, 200 nt
Filed under: uncultured bacterium
Lineage: Bacteria
Description: partial 16S ribosomal RNA
Rfam family: Bacterial small subunit ribosomal RNA
Source: RNAcentral
AGAGUUUGAUCCUGGCUCAGAAUGAACGCUGGCGGCGUGCUUAACACAUGCAAGUCGAGCGAGAAAGGCCUUCGGGCCGAGUAAAGCGGCAGACGGGUGAGUAAUGCGUGAGAAUCUGCCUUUCAGUGAAGAAUACCCUCGAGAAAUCGAGGUUAAUACUGCAUACGUCCCUUCGGGGAGAAAGAUGGCCUCUUGCUGUC